This 30-nucleotide non-coding RNA is filed under the name Rattus norvegicus (Norway rat). The record is from RNAcentral. Lineage: Eukaryota; Metazoa; Chordata; Mammalia; Rodentia; Muridae.
UGCCUUUGCCAUCAAAGUGGUGAUGGGAGU